CCAGAGUUGCUAAGGAAGAUCGUCAUAGCUUGGAGAGAAGUUCGUCCUCAAGGGAGAUCUGAGUUAGGAAAGAAGAAUUGCAUCACCAAGGAAGCUUAUAUGUAAUGGGUUAAGGAUAGAGUUGAAGAAAUUAUGUUGCCAUUCCCGUUUGAGCCAUAUAUGAGCGUCAUGCAACCUAUGUUUGUCGUUAUUCCUACCUCUGAGGUUGGAAAAGUCAAGGAGACU
RNAcentral lists this long non-coding RNA (225 nucleotides) under Lathyrus oleraceus (garden pea). RNAcentral describes it as "Pisum sativum (pea) long non-coding RNA (PSAT_LNC023602)". The record is from RNAcentral. Lineage: Eukaryota; Viridiplantae; Streptophyta; Magnoliopsida; Fabales; Fabaceae.